AGAGAGAGACAUGCGCGCAUAUCAAUAAGCGGAGGAAAAGAAACUAACAAGGAUUCCCCUAGUAACGGCGAGUGAAGCGGGAAGAGCUCAAAUUUGAAAUCUUAAAGGGUUUCCCUUUACGAAUUGUAGUUUAAAGAAGUGUUUUCUGUUGAGGUUUUGGUAAAAGUUCUUUGGAAUAGGACAUCAUAGAGGGUGAGAAUCCCGUAUUUGACCAUUAUUUCCAGCUGUGUGAUACACUUUCAAAGAGUCGGAUUGUUUGGGAAUGCAGUCCAAAAUGGGUGGUAAAUUUCAUCUAAAGCUAAAUAUUGGCGAGAGACCGAUAGCGAACAAGUACCGUGAGGGAAAGAUGAAAAGAACUUUGAAAAGAGAGUUAAACAGUAUGUGAAAUUGUCAAAAGGGAAGCGUUUGACACCAGUGUUGUUUUUCUGAAAAUCAAUUAAAGAACUGUUUAUGCUAAGCUGUUUAGACUUUAUCAGCUAACUGUUUAGUUUUGAGCUUUUCUUUAAUGCACUUUUCAGUUAACAAGUCAACAUCAAUUUCUUUUGCUGUAAAAAAGCUUGAGGAAGGUGGCUUGAGAUUCGUCUUAAGUGUUUAUAGCCUCUUGCCUAUGCAGUCGGAGAGAUUGAGGUCUGCAGCGUAGAUCCUUCGGGGCUAAAUGCAUUUGUGCUAAGUUAUAGCAUUUUAUAGACAACUUGUUGACUAUGAUUUGUCUUGUAGCUUACUCGCUUAUGUUAUUUUACCUACGCUUAGGAUGUUGACGCAUGAGAUAUACGC
RNAcentral lists this ribosomal RNA (774 nucleotides) under uncultured Neocallimastigales. RNAcentral describes it as "partial large subunit ribosomal RNA". It matches the Rfam family "Eukaryotic large subunit ribosomal RNA", at positions 23 to 647 of the family's 3401-position model. The record is from RNAcentral. Lineage: Eukaryota; Fungi; Neocallimastigomycota; Neocallimastigomycetes; Neocallimastigales.